This 1480-nucleotide ribosomal RNA is filed under the name Mycobacteroides chelonae. Its description in RNAcentral is "Mycobacterium chelonae 16S ribosomal RNA". It matches the Rfam family "Bacterial small subunit ribosomal RNA". The record is from RNAcentral. Lineage: Bacteria; Bacillati; Actinomycetota; Actinomycetes; Mycobacteriales; Mycobacteriaceae.
AGAGUUUGAUCCUGGCUCAGGACGAACGCUGGCGGCGUGCUUAACACAUGCAAGUCGAACGGAAAGGCCCUUCGGGGUACUCGAGUGGCGAACGGGUGAGUAACACGUGGGUGAUCUGCCCUGCACUCUGGGAUAAGCCUGGGAAACUGGGUCUAAUACCGGAUAGGACCACACACUUCAUGGUGAGUGGUGCAAAGCUUUUGCGGUGUGGGAUGAGCCCGCGGCCUAUCAGCUUGUUGGUGGGGUAAUGGCCCACCAAGGCGACGACGGGUAGCCGGCCUGAGAGGGUGACCGGCCACACUGGGACUGAGAUACGGCCCAGACUCCUACGGGAGGCAGCAGUGGGGAAUAUUGCACAAUGGGCGCAAGCCUGAUGCAGCGACGCCGCGUGAGGGAUGACGGCCUUCGGGUUGUAAACCUCUUUCAGUAGGGACGAAGCGAAAGUGACGGUACCUACAGAAGAAGGACCGGCCAACUACGUGCCAGCAGCCGCGGUAAUACGUAGGGUCCGAGCGUUGUCCGGAAUUACUGGGCGUAAAGAGCUCGUAGGUGGUUUGUCGCGUUGUUCGUGAAAACUCACAGCUUAACUGUGGGCGUGCGGGCGAUACGGGCAGACUAGAGUACUGCAGGGGAGACUGGAAUUCCUGGUGUAGCGGUGGAAUGCGCAGAUAUCAGGAGGAACACCGGUGGCGAAGGCGGGUCUCUGGGCAGUAACUGACGCUGAGGAGCGAAAGCGUGGGUAGCGAACAGGAUUAGAUACCCUGGUAGUCCACGCCGUAAACGGUGGGUACUAGGUGUGGGUUUCCUUCCUUGGGAUCCGUGCCGUAGCUAACGCAUUAAGUACCCCGCCUGGGGAGUACGGUCGCAAGACUAAAACUCAAAGGAAUUGACGGGGGCCCGCACAAGCGGCGGAGCAUGUGGAUUAAUUCGAUGCAACGCGAAGAACCUUACCUGGGUUUGACAUGCACAGGACGUACCUAGAGAUAGGUAUUCCCUUGUGGCCUGUGUGCAGGUGGUGCAUGGCUGUCGUCAGCUCGUGUCGUGAGAUGUUGGGUUAAGUCCCGCAACGAGCGCAACCCUUGUCCUAUGUUGCCAGCGGGUAAUGCCGGGGACUCGUAGGAGACUGCCGGGGUCAACUCGGAGGAAGGUGGGGAUGACGUCAAGUCAUCAUGCCCCUUAUGUCCAGGGCUUCACACAUGCUACAAUGGCCAGUACAGAGGGCUGCGAAGCCGCAAGGUGGAGCGAAUCCCUUAAAGCUGGUCUCAGUUCGGAUUGGGGUCUGCAACUCGACCCCAUGAAGUCGGAGUCGCUAGUAAUCGCAGAUCAGCAACGCUGCGGUGAAUACGUUCCCGGGCCUUGUACACACCGCCCGUCACGUCAUGAAAGUCGGUAACACCCGAAGCCAGUGGCCUAACCUUUUGGAGGGAGCUGUCGAAGGUGGGAUCGGCGAUUGGGACGAAGUCGUAACAAGGUAGCCGUA